RNAcentral lists this long non-coding RNA (3501 nucleotides) under Sus scrofa (pig). Its description in RNAcentral is "lncRNA (ENSSSCG00060061177.1)". Lineage: Eukaryota; Metazoa; Chordata; Mammalia; Artiodactyla; Suidae. The record is from RNAcentral.
UUUUUUUGUUAGAUGCAGUCUUUCAAAAUGAGUAAAUAAGCCCCAACACUAGAAGGUCAAAGAUUGAUUGGAGACUUCAAACCAUGAGCCCUCAAUGCGAUUUAAGCCUGAUAAAAGCCAUUUUCCCAAAUGUAGUUUUCAUAUUAAGUGGUAAAAGCCAGUGAAGAGUAAAAAGCAUCAUUAUGUGAUGGCUUGAAGUAAAUUUAGAACUUCAUUGAGAAAUCUAGGGUUACAUGUAUAUAUGAACAUAUACAUACACACACACACACACAUACAUAUAUAUAUCCACUUAAGAAACUGUUUCUUUUUAAGCUUCUGUCUUUUGAAAGCAUAAAUUACUUAGUUCAGUUGAUUAUUUUUAAGUCUAUAUAAAGUGGGUUUCAGAAUACCAUUUCUAGCAAGUGUAAAGCCUCAGAAAAAAAAAAAAAGUGAAAACAAGUGUUACUUAAAAGAUCUAUUUUCUAAACCAAUAUCUUUGGGGGAAAGGGCUAAAUAUAAGCAAAAUACAUAUUUUCUCCUUCUGUAAUUAAAAUUAAAAUUUAAUCAUUAGCCCUGAAACGUGAAGGAAUAUUUCUUAAGUCAAUGUUGAAAGACUCCAACAGCAUAUUUCUAAGCAUUUAAUAACUACUGUCUGAUCAGUUGAGUUUUAAGAAUUUCUCAUCGAAUUAACAACGCUGAGGCAAUUAGUGCGGAAAACGCAAAAGGUUUUCUAAAGCCUUCCAAGAGUGUACCAUAAACUGGAAAGACAGCAGCAUUUGUACAAUAGCUUCUAGUUUAAAGUUAUUUUCACAGAGAAAAGUUUUUUCUUUGUACGAAAUGUACAAUUAAAAGAACUGCAGCGUAAAUGUUACCUGCAGGACUACGAACAUGUGGAAUAUAUGUUUAAAAUAUAUAAAUAUAUAAAUAUAAAGACAUGGAAUUAGCUGAGACGAAGGAAAGAGAAAUUGCGAAAUAAUGGAUGAAACCACCGCAGGUGCACGUACGUGAGUUCGAGCGUGGAGGGUCGGGGAGCAGGAGGAGCAGAGAAGGCGCAGGCGCAGUGAAGAGAAAGGGCGGGGAAAAGGCUCAGGUCCCCUGCGGUUGGCUCAACACUGGGGACCAGGCGGGGGUUCAAGAGUUGGGCCUUGGAAGAAUGGAGGAGCAAUGCUUAACCGAACAGAAGUGUCUUGCAGAGAAGCAGAAGAACCGAAGGGAGACCAAGACGUAGGCUUAGGUUAAAGGGCUUCCACUGAACAAGUCAAGUGGGAGCGCUGCCCACGUCUCCCGGUUUUGAAGGAUGUCAGGAAGCGCAGGCUUCUCUCUGGUUUCCGUGAGCAGCUGCAAAGGCGCACGUCUUCGCCUUUGUCCUGAGACAGCUGUCUCUCACUGUUUGUCCCUCUGCUCUCUUUCUACCGUAAUGUAUACCCUUCACUUCUAAGCGUCGGGAAAAUGCGAUCCGCACUUCUGUCCUUCACUUCCUCAUCCUCAGUUCGUGUGGGGCUUUUGUCAUUGUCCCUCAUGUGUCCCUGAACCUGCCAAGGCUGUUUGCAAUGAAAUCUUGUGUCCAAUUCCCAGCCCUCUCCUGAUAGCCGUUGGCUUCCUCCUGAAAACUCAACUCACGAGGUCUCGGAGACGUCUUUUCCCAAUAGUGCCUUUGUUCCCUAGCUGCUGCUGUUUCGUCUGCUUCCAGGGCUCCUCCUUCUCUGCCUGCUGCUUAGUUGCCCAAAGGCAGGUUUCCAUUCCCCUUCUCCUUCCCUGCGGUCAGAACACGCUCUGGGGCACCUGCGCCCCCCAGUCUCCAUCACUGUGGCUAUUCUGACUCCCCGGGGACUCAGGUCUUCUGAGGUCUGAGCUUAUAUCAUUUGGAGCACCCUCUUUAAGAAAAGGAAUACAGACGUCUGAACACAAAAUUAGUUUAAAAAAUGAAUACAGAUGACAAAUACCACAGUAUAAUAGAAACCAAAAGAGUAACACAUUUUCAUUAAUUGUCUGACACAGUUCUAUGCUUCGCUCCCCUUUCAUUGAUUAUUUUGUACUAUUGUGGAGAGAUGAGAAAGAUAAAUCAGUCUUUCAUCUGGUGUGGUUAGUCGGACGUGGUUUCUUACUACUGAUAUUUUGAAUGCAAAAAAAAAGUGAGCACAGAUGAACUUACCGUGUGUAACCUUCUUAUAGGUUUGUGUCCAAUGAACAUAGGAAUUCAGAUAAAGUUCAUUUCUUAAAUUCCCUUCAAAAUAAAAAAAUAUGGUGCAUUUAUAAUUAUGUGCUUCAUCAUCGAAUAUUGUGAAAGAAAAUGAACUUCUGUUUCGAAAUUCCUUUCAAAAUAAAAAAAUAUGGUGCAUUUAUAAUUAUGUGCUUCAUCAUCAAAUAUUGUGAAAGAAAAUGAACUUCUGUUUCGAUCAAGCAUUAGUAGAAGUCGUUGAUUCAGUUUAUUUCCAUAUCCCCUAUUGCUGCUGUAUGUCAGCGCCCCAGAAUUUCCUCUGCCUUUGCAACAGCCACCGAACAGGCACCCUCUUUGCCAGUCUUGCCUCACCAUGACUCCCUUGUGUAUUUCUGAGAGCUUUUUGAUCAGAAAAUCAUAUAACCACCCUCUUACCUAAACUGUUAAUGGACACUCAUUAUGCUCAAGAUAGUUUCCAAACUUCUUAGUCUGGCAAUCAAAACCCAUUCCUAACAUCAUUCCUGCUUCUUAUUUGAACCUCACCUCUCAUGGAAUAUCCACCCCUCAUCUCGACACCAUCCUACAUUCCAAUGAGACCAAAAUGUUAGAAUUGGCUAUGCCAUGGUCAAAUAUGUAUAUCCACUGCUCCUUCUGCCAGAAGUAUCACCACAUAAAAACUUGUUUAAACCCCUCUGGUCUUUUAAACUCCUCUCCAAAAUGCCUUUUCUGUCCACUGACACCCCUCUUUAUCCCUCUAACCUAAAUCACGACUCACCAGAUGAACCUAUUCUGUAUCUUUACCAGGGUAUGAAUCAUGCAUUAUAAUUGAUAUUCAUAUUUUUAAAAAUCCAUUAAUUUGGUAGGCAAGGCUCUGAUACCUGGAGGGAUCUGUGAUAUUGAUAUCUUGUUAAAUGUUCUGUGAGUGUUGAUAAUAAUCCAAAAUUCCCAGAAAGCCAGAAGCUAUAUAAUUUUCAUAAACUCAAGACUUUCUAAUCUCAGAUCAUCAAAAUACCUGCUCAAAUACCUUUAUGUUUUUUAAGCCCCUUAGGUGACUGCAGGUCAUCUUGUUCAAUAAGAUGAGGACUGGUUAAAGUGGGGAAUCAUAAAAAUAAAUACAUAAAUAAAUAAGGAAGCAUUACCUAAAAUAUUUUUUCUGUGAGUAUGAAUCAGUGAUUUGGGUUUCAGUUUGUCAUCCUUAUCUUUUGACUUUAGACCCAUCAUAAGAAUUCUUCACAUUACAGUUCCAGUUUCCUUAAAGUGAAGGAGAACUUAAAGAAAUAGGCUGAAUGGAGUUCCUGUCAUGGCUCAGUGGUUAACGAAUCUGACUAGGAACCAUGAGGUUGCGGGUUCGACCCCUGGCCUUG